UUCAAACACCUCAAUGAUAUACAAGAAAUGGCUCCAAAGCUCAACCAACUUAGCACAGGGGCAGCGCACAGGGGUACUAACAAACAGGUAAUCAAAUGGGAAUCCUGCUGUAUUAUUAACAAAAGAAUCAAGAACAAUCAACUUUUUUCUGCUAAUCCUGACCUUGUCUCUCUAUAUCUUGCCCUUCAGAUGGUUCAGGGAAAAUCUCCCUAGAAUACCGUCUGUGCGAGGAUGAAUGUUCACCGCCAUUUUGGCCACUUCCCCCAGAAUUUGAGGUUCCUGAAUGUUUAAGACUACUAGAUCCUUCUGGCCU
Molecule: long non-coding RNA, 313 nt
Filed under: Ricinus communis (castor bean)
Lineage: Eukaryota; Viridiplantae; Streptophyta; Magnoliopsida; Malpighiales; Euphorbiaceae
Description: long non-coding RNA (RCOM_LNC000011)
Source: RNAcentral